GACGAACGCUGGCGGCGUGCUUAACACAUGCAAGUCGAACGGAAAGGCCCUGCUUUUGUGGGUUGCUCGAGUGGCGAACGGGUGAGUAACACGUGAGUAACCUGCCCUUGACUUUGGGAUAACUUCAGGAAACUGGGGCUAAUAUCGGAUAGGAUCUCCUGCUGCAUGUUGGGGGUUGGAAAGUUUCGGCGGUUGGGGAUGGACUCGCGGCUUAUCAGCUUGUUGGUGGGGUAGUGGCUUACCAAGGCUUUGACGGGUAGCCGGCCUGGGAGGGUGACCGGGCACAUGGGGACUGAGAGAGGGACCAGAAGCCUAAGGGAGGCAGCAGGGGAGAAUAUUACAGAGUGAGCGGAAGCCUGAUGCAGAAACGUCGCGUGCGGGAUAACGGCCUUCGGGUUAUAAACAGAUUUCGCCUGUGACGAAGCGGGAGUGACGGUAAUGGGUAAAGAAGCACCGGCUAACUACGUG
RNAcentral lists this ribosomal RNA (468 nucleotides) under uncultured bacterium. RNAcentral's name for it is "partial 16S ribosomal RNA". It matches the Rfam family "Bacterial small subunit ribosomal RNA", at positions 28 to 507 of the family's 1533-position model. The record is from RNAcentral.